AUGUCUAAUUCCCUGAGGUGUCUACUACUGAUAACAAGAGUGAGUUUGGAGAAGAGGGCACUGGAAAGCUACUGCGAUGGAUUCAGGGUAGCAGACACCAGCCAUUUUCUUCUCAGUCUUGUGGGAAAUCGACCAGGCUAUACGGUUCAGGGAGACAAUGAAGCUAAUUACAUUCGUUAUGACAGGCGAGCCGGGUGGAAGGAGAUGAGCACACUGUUCAGAGGAGAAGGUUGAGAACUACUCUCUAGACAUUGAGGAGACAGGACAACCCACAGACAGUUGAUGGUGAGGUGACUGCACAGCUAAACAAACACGAUGAAAGAAAACUUUAUAUUCAUGAUCUUAAUUUGGCUCCAUUCAGCUUGAGGCUUGAUGUAAGUCAGAUGGCAUGACUGGCAACAUCACACCUAUUCUCACAGGACCAAAUGCCAUAUGUCUGAAAAAGUAUCUUCUUUGACGGAGAGACUGUAAUUUUCUAAUUUAGAGCUGAUGUUUUACUGUUGUGAGCUGAGUAAACG
This 518-nucleotide long non-coding RNA is filed under the name Struthio camelus australis. Its description in RNAcentral is "lncRNA (ENSSCUG00000015092.1)". The record is from RNAcentral. Lineage: Eukaryota; Metazoa; Chordata; Aves; Struthioniformes; Struthionidae.